Molecule: ribosomal RNA, 442 nt
Filed under: uncultured bacterium
Lineage: Bacteria
Description: partial 16S ribosomal RNA
Rfam family: Bacterial small subunit ribosomal RNA
Source: RNAcentral
CCUACGGGGGACAGCAGUAGGGAAUCUUUCACAAUGGGCGAAAGCCUGAUGGAGCAACGCCGCGUGCAGGAUGAAGGCCUUCGGGUUGUACACUGCUUUUAUAAGCGAGAAAUAUGAUGGUAACUUAUGAAUAAGGAUCGGCUAACUACGUGCCAGCAGCCGCGGUCAUACGUAGGAUCCGAGCAUUAUCCGGAGUGACUGGGUGUAAAGAGUUGCGUAGGUGGCAUAAUAAGUAGCUAGUGAAAUCUGGUGGCUCAACCAUUCAGACGAUUAGCUAAACUGUUAAGCUCGAGACCGUUAGGGGUAACUGGAAUUUCUAGGGUAGGAGUGAAAUCCGUAGAUAUUAGAAGGAACACCAAUAGCGUAGGCAGGUUGCUGGGACGGUUCUGACACUAAGGCACGAAAGCGUAGGGAGCAAACGGGAUUAGAUACCCUUGUAGUC